This 1068-nucleotide ribosomal RNA is filed under the name uncultured bacterium. RNAcentral describes it as "bacterial SSU rRNA". It matches the Rfam family "Bacterial small subunit ribosomal RNA", at positions 51 to 1095 of the family's 1533-position model. The record is from RNAcentral.
AUAAUGCAGUCGAGCGAACAGAUGAGAAGCUUGCUUCUCUGAUGUUAGCGGCGGACGGGUGAGUAACACGUGGGUAACCUACCUAUAAGACUGGGAUAACUCCGGGAAACCGGGGCUAAUACCGGAUAAUAUAUUGAACCGCAUGGUUCAAUGUUGAAAGACGGUUUCGGCUGUCACUUAUAGAUGGACCCGCGCCGUAUUAGCUAGUUGGUAAGGUAACGGCUUACCAAGGCAACGAUACGUAGCCGACCUGAGAGGGUGAUCGGCCACACUGGAACUGAGACACGGUCCAGACUCCUACGGGAGGCAGCAGUAGGGAAUCUUCCGCAAUGGGCGAAAGCCUGACGGAGCAACGCCGCGUGAGUGAUGAAGGUCUUAGGAUCGUAAAACUCUGUUGUUAGGGAAGAACAAAUUUGUUAGUAACUGAACAAGUCUUGACGGUACCUAACCAGAAAGCCACGGCUAACUACGUGCCAGCAGCCGCGGUAAUACGUAGGUGGCAAGCGUUAUCCGGAAUUAUUGGGCGUAAAGCGCGCGUAGGCGGUUUCUUAAGUCUGAUGUGAAAGCCCACGGCUCAACCGUGGAGGGUCAUUGGAAACUGGGGAACUUGAGUGCAGAAGAGGAGAGUGGAAUUCCAUGUGUAGCGGUGAAAUGCGCAGAGAUAUGGAGGAACACCAGUGGCGAAGGCGGCUCUCUGGUCUGUAACUGACGCUGAUGUGCGAAAGCGUGGGGAUCAAACAGGAUUAGAUACCCUGGUAGUCCACGCCGUAAACGAUGAGUGCUAAGUGUUAGGGGGUUUCCGCCCCUUAGUGCUGCAGCUAACGCAUUAAGCACUCCGCCUGGGGAGUACGACCGCAAGGUUGAAACUCAAAGGAAUUGACGGGGGACCCGCACAAGCGGUGGAGCAUGUGGGUUUAAUUCGAAGCAACGGCGAAGACCUUACCAAAUCUUGGACAUCCUUUGAUCGCUCUAGAGAUAGAGUUUUCCCCUUUCGGGGGACAAAGUGACAGGUGGGUGCAUGGUUGUCGUCAGCUCGUGUCGUGGAGAUGGUGAUAGGUCCCGCAACGA